RNAcentral lists this transfer RNA (67 nucleotides) under Xenocatantops humilis. Its description in RNAcentral is "tRNA-Ser". The record is from RNAcentral. Lineage: Eukaryota; Metazoa; Arthropoda; Insecta; Orthoptera; Acrididae. RNAcentral also lists the same sequence under 1 other name.
GAAAUGGAAUGCCAAUAUAAAAGCCGCUAACUUUUUAUAAUAGCGGUUUAACUCCGUUAACAUUUCU